RNAcentral lists this small RNA (644 nucleotides) under Pongo abelii (Sumatran orangutan). RNAcentral's name for it is "retained intron". The record is from RNAcentral. Lineage: Eukaryota; Metazoa; Chordata; Mammalia; Primates; Hominidae.
AUGGAAAGGGUUUCAUCUUUCUGAACAUUCACCACACUGAUUCCGCCUAGUAAUUGUCUAAGAUACAGACGAAAAUUGAUCACUAAUGAAGACUGUUAACUCAAAACCUGGCCAUAUCUCAUAUAACAAGGAGUAUGUCUGAGCUCUUCUGCUCAACCUCCUCCCAGCUCUGUAUUUCCCAGUCUUCAUGAUGGGUAUCAAGAAAAGGGAAAAUAAGAAAGACUUGGCAUUUGAGUUUUGAAGGUUAGAGCUACAUAUUUGAUGAUCAAGAACUCUCGAACUGCACCUGGAUACUAAUUCUGAAUGGAAGCUUACAAUUGUAAGGUGUUUAGCUCUUACUCUACACAAAUCCUUUUUGUGUGAGGAAGAUAAGGCUGUUGGGAGAGUCAAGUAAUUGAAUGAUGUGAAUUUCCUGGAGUUUCCAUAAGUUCCUGUAAAUUUAGCCUCCAACUGAAAUAAACCAAUUGGUACUCUUGUGAAAUUCAAAAUUAUGCUAUCAUCAGCUAAGCUGAAUGAAAAGAAAUUAGACAUGAAAGUCAUAGGCAGCCCUUUUUAAAAUUGUAUCUUUUAUAGAAACAUCAUUAUAUGGAACAAUUGGAAGAAGCAAAUUUAUUUGAGUGUGCAUUUUUAAGACAGUUCAACAA